This 917-nucleotide ribosomal RNA is filed under the name Klebsiella pneumoniae. RNAcentral describes it as "bacterial SSU rRNA". Lineage: Bacteria; Pseudomonadati; Pseudomonadota; Gammaproteobacteria; Enterobacterales; Enterobacteriaceae. The record is from RNAcentral.
CUAACACAUGCAAGUCGAGCGGUAGCACAGAGAGCUUGCUCUCGGGUGASGAGCGGCGGACGGGUGAGUAAUGUCUGGGAAACUGCCUGAUGGRGGGGGAUAACUACUGGAAACGGUAGCUAAUACCGCAUAAYGUCGCAAGACCAAAGUGGGGGACCUUCGGGCCUCAUGCCAUCAGAUGUGCCCAGAUGGGAUUAGCUAGUAGGUGGGGUAAYGGCUCACCUAGGCGACGAUCCCUAGCUGGUCUGAGAGGAUGACCAGCCACACUGGAACUGAGACACGGUCCAGACUCCUACGGGAGGCAGCAGUGGGGAAUAUUGCACAAUGGGCGCAAGCCUGAUGCAGCCAUGCCGCGUGUGUGAAGAAGGCCUUCGGGUUGUAAAGCACUUUCAGCGGGGAGGAAGGCGRURAGGUUAAUAACCUUGUCGAUUGACGUUACCCGCAGAAGAAGCACCGGCUAACUCCGUGCCAGCAGCCGCGGUAAUACGGAGGGUGCAAGCGUUAAUCGGAAUUACUGGGCGUAAAGCGCACGCAGGCGGUCUGUCAAGUCGGAUGUGAAAUCCCCGGGCUCAACCUGGGAACUGCAUUCGAAACUGGCAGGCUAGAGUCUUGUAGAGGGGGGUAGAAUUCCAGGUGUAGCGGUGAAAUGCGUAGAGAUCUGGAGGAAUACCGGUGGCGAAGGCGGCCCCCUGGACAAAGACUGACGCUCAGGUGCGAAAGCGUGGGAGCAAACAGGAUUAGAUACCCUGGUAGUCCACGCCGUAAACGAUGUCGAUUUGGAGGUUGUGCCCUUGAGGCGUGGCUUCCGGAGCUAACGCGUUAAAUCGACCGCCUGGGGAGUACGGCCGCAAGGUUAAAACUCAAAUGAAUUGACGGGGCCCGCACAAGCGGUGAGCAUGUGGUUUAAUUCGAUGCAC